This 327-nucleotide ribosomal RNA is filed under the name Triticum aestivum (bread wheat). Its description in RNAcentral is "partial small subunit ribosomal RNA". Lineage: Eukaryota; Viridiplantae; Streptophyta; Magnoliopsida; Poales; Poaceae. The record is from RNAcentral.
AUGGGGGAAGGUGAUGGUGAUGUUGGUGAAGACGACGGAGGUGUUGGUGUAGAUCGCGGUGAUGAUGAUGGUCCUUAUGGCACUCCGGCGCCACCGGAAGCGAGGGGGAGAGAGCCACCCUCCUUCUUCUUCUUCCUUGACCUUCUCCCUAGGUUGGAGAAGGGUUUCCCCUCUGGUCCAUGGUCUCCAUGGCAUCGUAGGGGUGAGAGCCCCUCCGAGAUUGGAUCUGUCUCCCUGUCUCUCUCUGUUUCUGCGUUCCAGAUUCUGCCCUUUCACCGUUUCUUAUAUUCCCACAGAUCUGUAACUCCGAUUGGACUGAAACUUUGA